RNAcentral lists this ribosomal RNA (301 nucleotides) under uncultured bacterium. Its description in RNAcentral is "partial 16S ribosomal RNA". It matches the Rfam family "Bacterial small subunit ribosomal RNA", at positions 509 to 807 of the family's 1533-position model. The record is from RNAcentral.
CAGCCGCCGCGGUAAUACGAAGGGGGCUAGCGUUGCUCGGAAUGACUGGGCGUAAAGGGCGCGUAGGCGGAUUGUUUAGCUAGGCGUGAAAUUCCUGGGCUUAACCUGGGGACUGCGCUUAAUACAGGCAGUCUAGAGUGAGGAAGAGGGUUGUGGAAUUCCCAGUGUAGAGGUGAAAUUCGUAGAUAUUGGGAAGAACACCGGUGGCGAAGGCGGCAACCUGGUCCUUGACUGACGCUGAGGCGCGAAAGCGUGGGGAGCAAACAGGAUUAGAUACCCCAGUAGUCCCUGUCUCUUAUAC